RNAcentral lists this ribosomal RNA (524 nucleotides) under uncultured bacterium. RNAcentral describes it as "partial 16S ribosomal RNA". It matches the Rfam family "Bacterial small subunit ribosomal RNA", at positions 28 to 523 of the family's 1533-position model. The record is from RNAcentral.
GACGAACGCUGGCGGCGUGCCUAAUACAUGCAAGUCGAGCGCAGGAAACUGACGGAACUCUUCGGAGGGAAGGCAGUGGGAUGAGCGGCGGACGGGUGAGUAACACGUAAGGAACCUGCCUCAAGGAUUGGGAUAACUCCGAGAAAUCGGAGCUAAUACCGGAUAGUUCAACGGACCGCAUGGUCCGCUGAUGAAAGGCGCUCCGGCGUCACCUUGAGAUGGCCUUGCGGUGCAUUAGCUAGUUGGUGGGGUAACGGCCCACCAAGGCGACGAUGCAUAGCCGACCUGAGAGGGUGAGCGGCCACACUGGGACUGAGACACGGCCCAGACUCCUACGGGAGGCAGCAGUAGGGAAUCUUCCACAAUGGACGAAAGUCUGAUGGAGCAACGCCGCGUGAGUGAUGAAGGUUUUCGGAUCGUAAAACUCUGUUGUAAGGGAAGAACACGUACGAGAGGGAAUGCUCGUACCUUGACGGUACCUUGCGAGAAAGCCACGGCUAACUACGUGCCAGCCGCCGCAGUAA